This 1145-nucleotide ribosomal RNA is filed under the name uncultured methanogenic archaeon. RNAcentral describes it as "bacterial SSU rRNA". It matches the Rfam family "Archaeal small subunit ribosomal RNA", at positions 123 to 1271 of the family's 1478-position model. The record is from RNAcentral. Lineage: Archaea; Methanobacteriati; Methanobacteriota.
GGCAUAACCUCGGGAAACUGAGAAUAAUACUCCAUAGAUCUAGAAUGCUGGAAUGCUUUUAGGUCGAAAACUCCGGUGCCUUAGGAUUGGUCUGCGGCGUAUCAGGUUGUAGUGGGUGUAACGGACCCACUAGCCGAUGACGCGUAUGGGCCUUGAGAGAGGAAGCCCAGAGAUGGACUCUGAGACAUGAGUCCAGGCCCUACGGGGCGCAGCAGUCGCGAAAACUUCACAAUGGGGGCAACCCCGAUGAGGGAAUUCCAAGUGCUAGCACUUUUUGUGUUAGCUGUUCUUUUGUCUAAAAAACAAGAGAAGUAAGGGCCGGGUAAGACGGGUGCCAGCCGCCGCGGUAAUACCCGCGGCCCGAGUGGUGGUCGAUAUUAUUGAGCCUAAAACGUUCGUAGCCGGUCUUGUAAAUCCUUGGGUAAAUCGGCCAGCUUAACUGUCCGAAGUCCGGGGAGACUGCAAGACUUGGGAUCGGGAGAGGUCAGAGGUACUUCUGGGGUAGGGGUAAAAUCCUGUAAUCCUAGAAGGACCACCGGUGGCGAAGGCGUCUGACUAGAACGAAUUCGACGGUGAGGAACGAAGCCCUGGGGCGCAAACGGGAUUAGAUACCCCGGUAGUCCAGGGUGUAAACGCUGCGGGCUUGGUGUUGGGGGUCCUUAGUGGGCGCCCAGUGCCGGAGAGAAGUUGUUAAGCCUGCUGCUUGGGGAGUACGUCCGCAAGGAUGAAACUUAAAGGAAUUGGCGGGGGAGCACCGCAACGGGAGGAGCGUGCGGUUCAAUUGGAUUCAACGCCGGACAACUCACCAGGAGCGACGAUUACAUGAAGGCCAGGCUGAUGACCUUGCCUGAUUUUUCGAGAGGUGGUGCAUGGCCGUCGUCAGUUCGUACUGUAAAGCGUUCUCUUAAGUGAGAUAACGAACGAGACCCUCACUAAUAAUUGCUAGCGUUUUCUCUGGAAGGCGCGCACAUUAUUGGGACCGCUGUCGCUAAGACAGAGGAAGGAGAGGUCAACGGUAGGUCCGUAUGCCCCGAAUCUCCUGGGCUACACGCGCGCUACAAAGGACGGGACAAUGGGUUCCGAUAUCGAAAGGUAAAGGCAAUCCCGAAACCCGUUCGUAGUUCGGAUCGAGGGCUGUAACUCGC